This is a long non-coding RNA of Gadus morhua (Atlantic cod), 1144 nucleotides long. The record is from Ensembl. NCBI's taxonomy places the organism in Eukaryota, Metazoa, Chordata, Actinopteri, Gadiformes, Gadidae.
GCUGGAUGAGUACUGCAUCGAUGUCCUUCUGCUGGAGUUGCUGGUACAGGAUGUCCACAUGGGGCAUGAUGUUGUGAAAAACGCUCAAGAAAAAAACAAAGUCUUCGGGUGAAUCUCAUUCCUUUGCUCCAAAGAAAAUCUCAGCCCUAGCCCUCGCUGUUGCGCGUGCACGCACCGUGGAGCAAUGUCCCAAUACCUCUUUAAUGUAGCUUUAAGGGGUAAGGGGGAGGGCUAACAUCCCCUCAAAAUUGAGAUUUUCGAUGGGCACCCUCAAAGCGCUUCAGUUCUGAACACACAAUACCUUGCGAGAAAACGGAAAAUCAAGAAAUAUCCUAGACAAGAUGGAGGACGAAAAGAUGCGACAGGAUUGGAAAAACACAAAUGACUUUGUUGAGUCCACUGCCACCAGCCCCCCCCACCUCUCCCUCAUGCUCCUCCACCCCAGGCACCUCUUCCACCACCCCAGACACCCCUUCCAAGAGGAGAGUGCCAGGGGGCAGGCGAGGCAUGAGGAGAGCGAGGCAAAGUUGGCGGAAUGGUGGAGAAGAUGUGAUUCUCCACCAUUCUCUCAAAAGCUGAGAGAGAGUGUGUGUGUGUGUGUGUGUGUAUUUUUAGGUGUGCGUGUGUGUGUAUUUUUAGAUGCGUGUGUUUGUAUUUUUAGAUGUGUGGUUCAGUGUUUCUUAUUUAAAUAAAGUGUUUCUUCUAAAGUGUUCUUGUUCUUAACCGAUUAUUAUCUAAGGGUGCACUCACUAGGCCAUCUGUCCGUGGCCGUGGCCGUUUUAGCACCUAACCGUGCUCAAAUCUGCCAGUGUGAGUGUGGCCAGUCUGGCUAAUACCACCUUUAACAGUAUUAUUAUUUUUUUAACACUUUAUUUAAACAUGCCAAUUAGAAAAAUAUAAAUACCAUUUCAGGUUAAACAUCUUUACAAUGGGUCUUGCUCGUUGACCGAGACAAUGGCAGCCAGUCUGUCUCUUGUAACAUUACCAGGGGUCUGGUUAUCUGCUAGGGGGCACGGGGAGGCCAUGAUGACGUCACAGGGUAGGGUUGUCCCAUUUGGUAGGGGACCGUUAAGGGGUAGCAAUGAGGGGUAGCAAUGAGAUUGAGCAAUGAGGGUUAGGGUUGAGAUGUAGGGUUGAGACAGAG